Molecule: long non-coding RNA, 1919 nt
Filed under: Nicotiana tabacum (common tobacco)
Lineage: Eukaryota; Viridiplantae; Streptophyta; Magnoliopsida; Solanales; Solanaceae
Description: long non-coding RNA (NTAB_LNC004374)
Source: RNAcentral
CACCUAUAAAUACCGGCGUUUGGAUGCUAUUUGGGGACAACUCGGAGCCGCCGCUCUUCCCCUCUAUAAAUCAUUCUUUUCCUAUCAACUGUUAUUCAUCUCAGAAAGGCUUCAUUCUUUUGACUACCCUGCUGUUUCUGUUGGGUAUUUACCCUUGCAUAAAGUCGAUUAUCUUCAUUUAUUUUAGUCGAAUCUGCUUUUUUCCGAGAGGAAGGAGCGGGCUUGAAAUCGGAGUUCGAUAGUGCAUCUAAGAUCCGUGCCUCGGUUAGCUGCUCCGCAAUAGGUCAGUUUUCUUUCUAAACUUUAAUCUUCCCUUAUUUUGUUAUUAGAUGUAAAGUAUGUGUUGUUUCGUCUUCUGUAGAAAUCACGUUCCUUAGUGAGUCGUGUUCUAGUUGUUUACUUACUAAACGUGAAGAAGACAUGUUUGCUAAAAUUACUCUACAAAAUGGGUCAUGCUGUUUUAGCCACGAAUUAUGAUCCAAGUAUAAGAGUCAUGUUUUAGGAGUUGUAUAGAAACCAUAAGUGGCGGAGCCAGAAUUUUCAUCAAGAGGUGUCAAAAUAUAAAUAAUUAGAUAUAUUGAAAAAUCAAGUGGAGUCAACAAAUAGUAAAUAUACAUAAAAUAAAAAAACUUACCUAGCAAUAUAAUAUAAUUUUCCGGCGAAGUGGUAUGCUUGACACCCUUUGAUUCAAUGUGGCUCCGCCGCCGGAACCAUGCCUUUAAGCAUUUUAUAAGAUGACCAUGUAUUUUUAAAAGAUUGAGUGGUCAGUGUUUUCUUCUUUUCAUCCUUUACCUUUUCUUUCGAAUCUGCUAGUUUUGAAUACUUUUUGAUUUGGUUUAAGUUGAGAUUAAUUCAUGUCCUAUGUCCUUGAUAUCAUGAAAAUAAGUAUUCGUCAUGUGUUUGAUAAAUCAUUAAGUUAAUAUGACAUUCUGUGAUUCUUGGGUUUGUUAAAAGUCGUAUGUCAAGCGUUUUGUUUUUUUAUCUAAAUAUAUAUAAAUCUUGAUUUAGUUAAUGCCUAUGUCAUGUUUAGGACUCAUUUUAUUUAUAAAUUCACACCAUUAUUUACUGGAAGUUAUGUUCUGGUUAGGCUAGUCAAACUACUUGUUUAUAAAUACAUACUAUGCAUAUAGGUCCCAUUAUUUAGCAGAGAAUUUUAGGAGAGUAGAAUUCAUGUCUAGUUACCAUGAGUAUGCGAAACCUACCAUACCGAAUACUCUUUUUUUUUUUUUUUGAUCUGAAAGUAGAAGACUAUCGGUUUUGAGUAAUAUAGAAUGCUUUGUAGUCUUUUGUUUGGAUUCGUUUAACCAUAGAAGAGUACGCCUGUAGGUUUAUCGAACUAUGGAAGUUGUCUAAUGGUUAUCACUAACUCUUGAAUAUAUAUUGUUGGAUUAAACAUAUUAUAAAUUUAAGUCUUUCCUCUCAGUCCUGAAAUCUUGAUUGUAUGACAGCAUAUCUUCUUUAUUUUGAAUCCGAUAAUUUAAUGUGCAUUCAUUAUGUAUUCACCUUAAGUUUACCUUUAGUAUAGAGGAUAACUAACUUAAGCAGAUCAUCAUCAGUAAUAUCUGCAAGAAAUAGCGACUUAUUUACUACUAAGGCCCUGUUAUGAAUCAAAAGAAGUAUAAUACUAGUUUUUAUUGCCUUUAUAUGCUAUUACUGUUAAGGAUGACUCCUAAUUAUUUUUUCCUUUCUUUGCAUGUACACUCUGGAGCAAACGGAGUCUUAAUUCGAGUCUCUCGCAGUGGAGUGUCAUAGAGACUCAACGCUACCACCACCACUACAUGGAGUCAUUGCAUACCAUCUUCCUUAGAGCACCGGAUAGCGAGAAAAACAAGCGAAUCUCUUGGGGUCGCCUAUGGCGGCUUUUGUUUUCUACUUUGUCCAAUGUUGUUAAUCUAUGUGAUUUGUUUUAUUUGAACCUA